Molecule: unclassified non-coding RNA, 350 nt
Filed under: soil metagenome
Description: partial contains 5.8S ribosomal RNA, internal transcribed spacer 2, and large subunit ribosomal RNA
Rfam family: 5.8S ribosomal RNA (bases 1-120)
Source: RNAcentral
GAUGAAGAACGUAGCAAAAUGCGAUACGUAAUGUGAAUUGCAGAAUUCAGUGAAUCAUCGAGUCUUUGAACGCACAUUGCGCCCCCUGGUAUUCCGGGGGGCAUGCCUGUCCGAGCGUCAUUGCUGCCCUCAAGCACGGCUUGUGUGUUGGGCCCCCGCCCCCCGGUUCCCGGGGGGCGGGCCCGAAAGGCAGCGGCGGCACCGCGUCCGGUCCUCGAGCGUAUGGGGCUUCGUCACCCGCUCCGUAGGCCCGGCCGGCGCCCGCCGGAGACCCCCCCUCAAUCUUUCCAGGUUGACCUCGGAUCAGGUAGGGAUACCCGCUGAACUUAAGCAUAUCAAUAAGCGGAGGA